Molecule: transfer RNA, 67 nt
Filed under: Uraeotyphlus gansi (Gansi caecilian)
Lineage: Eukaryota; Metazoa; Chordata; Amphibia; Gymnophiona; Ichthyophiidae
Description: tRNA-Val
Source: RNAcentral
CAAAAUGUAGUUUAACAAACAUUUCGCUUACACCGAAAAAAUGUUCGAAAAACCCGAGCCAUUUUGA